ACACAUGCAAGUCGAGGGGCAGCGCGGGAUAGCAAUAUCCUGGCGGCGACCGGCGGAAGGGUGCGUAACGCGUGAGCGACAUGCCCGUUGCCCGGGGACAACCGGUGGAAACGCCGACUAAUCCCCGAUGGGAUAUUGUGCCGCAUGGCACGAUAUUGAAAGUUACGGCGGCGACGGAUUGGCUCGCGUCCGAUUAGCUUGUUGGCGGGGUAACGGCCCACCAAGGCUACGAUCGGUAGGGGUUCUGAGAGGAAGGCCCCCCACAAUGGGACUGAGACACGGCCCAUACUCCUACGGGAGGCAGCAGUGAGGAAUAUUGGUCAAUGGGCGGAAGCCUGAACCAGCCAUGCCGCGUGCGGGAAGGAGGCCCUAUGGGCUGUGAACCGCUUUUGCCUGGGGGCAAUAAGGGCGUCGCGCACGUCCGAUGAGAGUACCAGGCGAAUAAGCAUCGGCUAACUCCGUGCCAGCAGCCGCGGUAAUACGGGG
This 486-nucleotide ribosomal RNA is filed under the name uncultured bacterium. Its description in RNAcentral is "bacterial SSU rRNA". It matches the Rfam family "Bacterial small subunit ribosomal RNA", at positions 51 to 530 of the family's 1533-position model. The record is from RNAcentral.